UAUAAAUAUAGCUUAAAUUAAAGCAAUGGUUUUGUAAAUCAUCAAUGUAUAGUACUAUUUAUAU
RNAcentral lists this transfer RNA (64 nucleotides) under Dolicheulota formosensis. RNAcentral's name for it is "tRNA-Thr". It matches the Rfam family "tRNA". From Rfam's summary of the family: Transfer RNA (tRNA) molecules are approximately 80 nucleotides in length. Their secondary structure includes four short double-helical elements and three loops (D, anti-codon, and T loops). Lineage: Eukaryota; Metazoa; Mollusca; Gastropoda; Stylommatophora; Camaenidae. The record is from RNAcentral.